This 498-nucleotide ribosomal RNA is filed under the name uncultured Arcobacter sp. RNAcentral describes it as "bacterial SSU rRNA". It matches the Rfam family "Bacterial small subunit ribosomal RNA", at positions 887 to 1382 of the family's 1533-position model. The record is from RNAcentral. Lineage: Bacteria; Pseudomonadati; Campylobacterota; Epsilonproteobacteria; Campylobacterales; Arcobacteraceae.
CGCCCGCUCAGAAACUUAAAGGAAUUGACGGGACCCGCACAAGCGGUGGAGCAUGUGGUUUAAUUCGACGAUACGCGAAGAACCUUACCUGGCCUUGACAUACUAAAAAGCUUUAAGAGAUUAGAGUGUGCUAGCUUGCUAGAAUUUAGAUACAGGUGCUGCACGGCUGUCGUCAGCUCGUGUCGUGAGAUGUUGGGUUAAGUCCCGCAACGAGCGCAACCCUCGUGUUUAGUUGCUAACAGUUCGGCUGAGAACUCUAAACAGACUGCCUACGCAAGUAGGAGGAAGGUGAGGACGACGUCAAGUCAUCAUGGCCCUUACGGCCAGGGCUACACACGUGCUACAAUGGGGUAUACAAAGAGCAGCGAUACGGUGACGUGGAGCAAAUCUAGAAAAUGCCUCUCAGUUCGGAUUGUAGUCUGCAACUCGACUACAUGAAGUUGGAAUCGCUAGUAAUCGUAGAUCAGCAAUGCUACGGUGAAUACGUUCCCGGGUCUU